AAGGAUUCUUUUGUCAGUUGUAGAAUCACUGGUGAAUAAGGGGUGGGCAAGUUCUGGUGUCAGCCGCCGCGGUAAACCAGCACCUCGAGUGGUCAGGAGGUUUAUUGGGCCUAAAGCAUCCGUAGCCGNGUUGCAUAAAGUUUUCGNGUUAAAUCUAUGCGCUUAACGUAUAGGCCGCCCGAAAAUUACUGUGCAGCUAGGGAAUUGGAAAAGUAACACGGUACUCGAUAGGAAGGGGUAAAAUCCUUUGAUCUAUUGAAGACCACCUGUGGCGAAGGCGGUGUACCAGAACACGUUCGACGGUGAGGGAUGAAAGCUGGNGGGAGCAAACCGNGAUUAGAUACCCGGGUAGUCCCAGCUGUAAACGAUGCAGACUCGGUGAUGCAUUGGCUUGUGGCCAAUGCAGUGCCGCCAGGGAAGCCGUNUAAGUCUGCCGCCUGGGAAGUACGUACGCAAGUUUAUGAAACUUAAAGGAAUUGGCGGGGGAGCACCANC
RNAcentral lists this ribosomal RNA (495 nucleotides) under uncultured archaeon. Its description in RNAcentral is "bacterial SSU rRNA". It matches the Rfam family "Archaeal small subunit ribosomal RNA", at positions 400 to 883 of the family's 1478-position model. The record is from RNAcentral.